GGCGCUGAGUAACACGUGGGUAACCUGCCUGUAAGACUGGGAUAACUCCGGGAAACCGGGGCUAAUACCGGAUGCUUGUUUGAACCGCAUGGUUCAAACAUAAAAGGUGGCUUCGGCUACCACUUACAGAUGGACCCGCGGCGCAUUAGCUAGUUGGUGAGGUAAUGGCUCACCAAGGCAACGAUGCGUAGCCGACCUGAGAGGGUGAUCGGCCACAAUGGGACUGAGACACGGCCCAGACUCCUACGGGAGGCAGCAGUAGGGAAUCUUCCGCAAUGGACGAAAGUCUGACGGAGCAACGCCGCGUGAGUGAUGAAGGUUUUCGGAUCGUAAAGCUCUGUUGUUAGGGAAGAACAAGUACCGUUCGAAUAGGGCGGUACCUUGACGGUACCUAACCAGAAAGCCACGGCUAACUACGUGCCAGCAGCCGCGGUAAUACGUAGGUGGCAAGCGUUGUCCGGAAUUAUUGGGCGUAAAGGGCUCGCAGGCGGUUUCUUAAGUCUGAUGUGAAAGCCCCCGGCUCAACCGGGGAGGGUCAUUGGAAACUGGGGAACUUGAGUGCAGAAGAGGAGAGUGGAAUUCCACGUGUAGCGGUGAAAUGCGUAGAGAUGUGGAGGAACACCAGUGGCGAAGGCGACUCUCUGGUCUGUAACUGACGCUGAGGAGCGAAAGCGUGGGGAGCGAACAGGAUUAGAUACCCUGGUAGUCCACGCCGUAAACGAUGAGUGCUAAGUGUUAGGGGGUUUCCGCCCCUUAGUGCUGCAGCUAACGCAUUAAGCACUCCGCCUGGGGAGUACGGUCGCAAGACUGAAACUCAAAGGAAUUGACGGGGGCCCGCACAAGCGGUGGAGCAUGUGGUUUAAUUCGAAGCAACGCGAAGAACCUUACCAGGUCUUGACAUCCUCUGACAAUCCUAGAGAUAGGACGUCCCCUUCGGGGGCAGAGUGACAGGUGGUGCAUGGUUGUCGUCAGCUCGUGUCGUGAGAUGUUGGGUUAAGUCCCGCAACGAGCGCAACCCUUGAUCUUAGUUGCCAGCAUUCAGUUGGGCACUCUAAGGUGACUGCCGGUGACAAACCGGAGGAAGGUGGGGAUGACGUCAAAUCAUCAUGCCCCUUAUGACCUGGGCUACACACGUGCUACAAUGGACAGAACAAAGGGCAGCGAAACCGCGAGGUUAAGCCAAUCCCACAAAUCUGUUCUCAGUUCGGAUCGCAGUCUGCAACUCGACUGCGUGAAGCUGGAAUCGCUAGUAAUCGCGGAUCAGCAUGCCGCGGU
This 1275-nucleotide ribosomal RNA is filed under the name Bacillus subtilis. RNAcentral's name for it is "bacterial SSU rRNA". It matches the Rfam family "Bacterial small subunit ribosomal RNA", at positions 97 to 1363 of the family's 1533-position model. Lineage: Bacteria; Bacillati; Bacillota; Bacilli; Caryophanales; Bacillaceae. The record is from RNAcentral.